AAUAUUGGACAAUGGGCGCAAGCCUGAUCCAGCCAUGCCGCGUGAGUGAAGAAGGCCUUCGGGUUGUAAAGCUCUUUUGUCCGGAAAGAAAAGCCUUCGGUUAAUACCCGGGGGUGAUGACGGUACCGGAAGAAUAAGCACCGGCUAACUCCGUGCCAGCAGCCGCGGUCAUACGGAGGAUCCAAGCGUUAUCCGGAAUUACUGGGCGUAAAGAGUUGCGUAGGUGGCAUAGUAAGUAGAUGGUGAAAGCGUGCAGCUCAACUGCAUAUACAUCAUCUAAACUGCUAAGCUAGAGGACGAGAGAGGUAGAUGGAAUUCCCAGUGUAGGAGUGAAAUCCGUAGAUAUUGGGAGGAACACCGAUGGCGUAGGCAGUCUACUGGCUCGUUCCUGACACUAAGGCACGAAAGCGUGGGGAGCAAAC
RNAcentral lists this ribosomal RNA (422 nucleotides) under uncultured bacterium. Its description in RNAcentral is "bacterial SSU rRNA". It matches the Rfam family "Bacterial small subunit ribosomal RNA", at positions 360 to 773 of the family's 1533-position model. The record is from RNAcentral.